Molecule: ribosomal RNA, 253 nt
Filed under: uncultured bacterium
Lineage: Bacteria
Description: partial 16S ribosomal RNA
Rfam family: Bacterial small subunit ribosomal RNA
Source: RNAcentral
GAUCAUGGCUCAGGACGAACGCUGGCGGCGUGCCUAACACAUGCAAGUCGAACGGGGCUAGGAAAGCUUGCUUUCCGAAGCCUAGUGGCGGACGGGUGAGUAACGCGUGAGUAACCUGCCUUUCAGAGGGGAAUAACGUUCUGAAAAGAACGCUAAUACCGCAUAACGUACAGUUACCGCAUGGUAGCAGUACCAAAGGAGCAAUCCGCUGAAAGAUGGACUCGCGUCCGAUUAGCUAGUUGGUGGGUAAAGG